Molecule: ribosomal RNA, 253 nt
Filed under: uncultured bacterium
Lineage: Bacteria
Description: partial 16S ribosomal RNA
Rfam family: Bacterial small subunit ribosomal RNA
Source: RNAcentral
UACGUAGGGGGCGAGCGUUGUCCGGAAUCAUUGGGCGUAAAGAGCGUGUAGGCGGCUUGGCAAGUCUGACGUGAAAGCCCGCGGCUCAACCGCGGAUUGUCGUUGGAAACUGCCUCGCUAGAGUCCGGAAGAGGAGAGCGGAAUUCCUGGUGUAGCGGUGGAAUGCGCAGAUAUCAGGAAGAACACCCGUGGCGAAGGCGGUUCUCUGGGACGGUACUGACGCUGAGACGCGAAAGCGUGGGGAGCGAACAGG